UAUCUUCAGGGCGGGGCGAAAUUCCCCACCGGCGGUAAAGUCCGCGAGCGCUCAGGCGCAGAUCCGGUGCAACUCCGGAACCGACAGUAUAGUCUGGAUGGAAGAAGAU
This 109-nucleotide non-coding RNA is filed under the name uncultured Faecousia sp. RNAcentral's name for it is "FMN riboswitch (RFN element)". It matches the Rfam family "FMN riboswitch aptamer (RFN element)". From Rfam's summary of the family: The RFN element is a highly conserved domain that is found frequently in the 5'-untranslated regions of prokaryotic mRNAs that encode for flavin mononucleotide (FMN) biosynthesis and transport proteins. This element is a metabolite-dependent riboswitch that directly binds FMN in the absence of proteins. The record is from RNAcentral. Lineage: Bacteria; Bacillati; Bacillota; Clostridia; Eubacteriales; Oscillospiraceae.